UGCAGUCGAGGGGUAACAGGGAUUGCUUGCAAUCUGCUGACGACCGGCGCACGGGUGCGUAACGCGUAUGCAACCUACCUUUUACAGGGGGAUAGUCAAUAGAAAUGUUGAAUAAUACCCCAUACGAUCGUUUAUUGGCAUCGAUAAACGAGGAAAACUCCGGUGGUAAAAGAUGGGCAUGCGUCCUAUUAGCUAGAUGGUGAGGUAACGGCUCACCAUGGCUACGAUAGGUAGGGGUCCUGAGAGGGAGAUCCCCCACACUGGUACUGAGACACGGACCAGACUCCUACGGGAGGCAGCAGUGAGGAAUAUUGGACAAUGGAGGCAACUCUGAUCCAGCCAUGCCGCGUGCAGGAAGACGGCCCUAUGGGUUGUAAACUGCUUUUAUACAGGAAGAAUGUUAUCUACGUGUAGAUAUUUGACGGUACUGUACGAAUAAGGAUCGGCUAACUCCGUGCCAGCAGCCGCGGUAAUACGGAGGAUCCAAGCGUUAUCCGGAAUCAUUGGGUUUAAAGGGUCCGCAGGCGGUUCAUUAAGUCAGAGGUGAAAUCCUACCGCUCAACGGUAGCAUUGCCUUUGAUACUGAUGGACUUGAGUUAUAGUGAAGUAGUUAGAAUGUGUAGUGUAGCGGUGAAAUGCAUAGAUAUUACACAGAAUACCGAUUGCGAAAGCAGAUUACUAACUGUAUACUGACGCUGAGGGACGAAAGCGUGGGUAGCGAACAGGAUUAGAUACCCUGGUAGA
This 744-nucleotide ribosomal RNA is filed under the name uncultured Flavobacteriia bacterium. RNAcentral's name for it is "bacterial SSU rRNA". It matches the Rfam family "Bacterial small subunit ribosomal RNA", at positions 56 to 794 of the family's 1533-position model. Lineage: Bacteria; Pseudomonadati; Bacteroidota; Flavobacteriia. The record is from RNAcentral.